CUCGGCGGUGUACGUGCACACGGAGGUGAACAGGGGCGACAACUUCCCCGGGAUAUCGGCGUUGAAGAGCAUAUACGACGCCGUUCCGGCCAAGCUCAGGGACAAUCUCGACGCCUUCUAUUUCCUUCAUCCGGGCAUCCAGUCCCGCCUCUUCCUCGCCACCUUCGGCCGUCUCCUCUUCGGCGGCGCCGGCUACGCCAAGGUCAAGUAUGUUGCUAGAUUGGAGUUUCUGUGGGAGCACGUGCGCCGGAAGGGGGCGGAGAUGCCGGAGUUCGUGCACGAUUUUGACGAUGAGAUGGAGUGGCGCCCCACCACCGUCGAUUACGGCCUCGAGAGCGAUCAUCCUGCUAUAAUGCCUACCUUUGAUUCUACGGUUUCUACCUAUUCUAUGAGGUGUAUUGCCUAGAUUUCUACACUUUUUUUCUGUUUUUUUGGUUU
RNAcentral lists this long non-coding RNA (438 nucleotides) under Salvia miltiorrhiza (redroot sage). RNAcentral's name for it is "long non-coding RNA (SMIL_LNC008440)". The record is from RNAcentral. Lineage: Eukaryota; Viridiplantae; Streptophyta; Magnoliopsida; Lamiales; Lamiaceae.